GUCCACGCUGUAAACGAUGAGAACUAGAUGUUAAUUGGCUUCGGUUAAUUAGUAUCGCAGCUAACGCGUUAAGUUCUCCGCCUGGGGAGUACGGCCGCAAGGUUAAAACUCAAAGGAAUUGACGGGGCCCGCACAAGCGGUGGAGCAUGUGGUUUAAUUCGAUGCAACGCGAAGAACCUUACCUACCUUUGAAUCCACGGAAUCUUGCAGAGAUGCGAGAGUGCCUUCGGGAACCGUGAGACAGGUGCUGCAUGGCUGUCGU
This 262-nucleotide ribosomal RNA is filed under the name uncultured bacterium. Its description in RNAcentral is "partial 16S ribosomal RNA". It matches the Rfam family "Bacterial small subunit ribosomal RNA", at positions 793 to 1055 of the family's 1533-position model. The record is from RNAcentral.